AAACUUGUUAUCUCAUUUUAAUAAAAUCAAUGUACCUUUACUGACUUCUUUAGGGUCCUCUUGGAAAGAUAACAUCAGGAAUGCCCACUAAUUGGUUAUCUGCAUUCAUCUUGUCACUCAAUAAAGACAAAUUCCCAGAGAAGUACAAAAAAAAUGAUGAUGGGUCUUCUGAGAAUGCAACGGAGCAAAAAGAAGGAACUGUUUGUCCCUGACUGACUGUUUUCUGCAUGAUAUUGGUCUCCAGAGCUUUUACUCUUGUACUGAGCCAAGAUGAUGCCUCUGACCAUUCACAAAUGAUGCAGGAACAGAUGACUGGAGCUGCUAUGACUACGCCUGCAACAGAACACCAACAAAGCUUUCAAGAGAACAUGGGAAAUUUGGGGGCUGACAGUUUGCCUGUGGCUAUUAGAUGGAAUUGAAGAGGAGUUCAUGGCUAAAGACUGGUGACUCCAGUAGUAAAAAUUAGAAAAUGAGAAAAAACAAACUAUUAUUAAUAUACAAAACAUAGUAAAACUUCAUUCUGUGGAAAAAAAAUGUUGUCAAUUAUGCCAAAUUAUUAUGUUCACUCAGUAUGACUUUUAACCACAGGAAACUCUUGAUUUUGUGGGAUUAAAAAACCCUGCAUUUUACUGCUAAUCUUUUGUUUGUGUUUUUAUACUUUUCUUAACACGAAUAUGCAUUUUCAUUACAAAACAUGUAGCAACUAUGGAGAUGCAAAGUGAAGUUUCCUGUGGUUCAUGUGGAGCCUACAGAGUGACAGAACAAAUGUGUGAAAACCUUAUUCAAAUGAGCUCUUUUCAAAGUAAAUACCCAGAGCCAUAACAAAGUUAGCAAACAUUCUAUACUGCUUAAUAGCCACUAGUGAAAAAUCAGUUAUCUUGAGACCCUGCUGGGUUCUCAAGUGCCUUUGGGAUCAUCCACAGGUUAAAUAAUGUGAAGUCUUGAUCUGAUGUUCAUAAUAUAUAAAAUCUAUUGACAAAUCAUUGGUGCUAUACCGUAUAUGGCUACUCAGUAAAAGAAAAGAGCUCAGUUCCCAGUUAUUCUGUAUGAGACAGAAUUUACACAGAUAAGUAAGAAGGAAGAGAGGGUAAUUGCUGUCAGCACAUAGUUAAGGGUGGUCCUGCAAUAAUUUUAUCUGGAUCAACUGCCCUAAGGAAGAGUCAGGGUGCUAUUUCUGUACCAAGAGGCGAAUGUAAUUUGCAUGUUGAACGCUGCUAACAAGAACAAACAAUUUCAAUUCUACAAAUUAAACCAAGUUGU
This 1260-nucleotide long non-coding RNA is filed under the name Suricata suricatta (meerkat). RNAcentral's name for it is "lncRNA (ENSSSUG00005014440.1)". The record is from RNAcentral. Lineage: Eukaryota; Metazoa; Chordata; Mammalia; Carnivora; Herpestidae.